This 492-nucleotide ribosomal RNA is filed under the name uncultured bacterium. Its description in RNAcentral is "partial 16S ribosomal RNA". It matches the Rfam family "Bacterial small subunit ribosomal RNA", at positions 29 to 507 of the family's 1533-position model. The record is from RNAcentral.
AGUGAACGCUGGCGGUAGGCCUAACACAUGCAAGUCGAACGGCAGCACAGUAAGAGCUUGCUCUUACGGGUGGCGAGUGGCGGACGGGUGAGGAAUACAUCGGAAUCUACUUUUUCGUGGGGGAUAACGUAGGGAAACUUACGCUAAUACCGCAUACGACCUACGGGUGAAAGCAGGGGAUCUUCUGACCUUGCGCGAUUGAAUGAGCCGAUGUCGGAUUAGCUAGUUGGCGGGGUAAAGGCCCACCAAGGCGACGAUCCGUAGCUGGUCUGAGAGGAUGGUUCGCCACCAUGGAACUUAGACAGCGUCCCGACUACUGAGGGAGGGCGCAGUUGGGAACAUUAGGCAAUGGGGGGGAGUCUGACACAGGCAUCGCGAGUGGGUGAAGAAGGCCUUCGGGUUGUAAAGCCCUUUUGUUGGGAAAGAAAAGCAGCAGGUUAAUACCCCGCUGUUCUGACGGUACCCAAAGAAUAAGCACCGGCUAACUUCGUG